Phragmites australis (common reed) is the source of this 2102-nucleotide long non-coding RNA. RefSeq lists it as uncharacterized. The record is from RefSeq and is a predicted model, not a curated record. The transcript has 5 exons. Lineage: Eukaryota; Viridiplantae; Streptophyta; Magnoliopsida; Poales; Poaceae.
UCCGCCUGCGCCCCAUCCUCCAUCCUCGCUCCCGAAAUUACCACCCGCCCCAUCCUCAUCGUGUGCAUGAACAACACCAGUCCGCCGGAUCCCCUCCACGUGCAGCCUCCUCCGGCAAGGAUGCCUCCUCCGCCGCGGCGGACCGGGAGCAACCGUCGGCCCCCGCCACCACCAAGAUGGCCACCACCAGGGAUCCACGCGGGGAAGAUGGAUCUGGGCAGUAGCGGCCUAGAUCUACGCAAAUCACGGAUUCUCCUCCCACCGUGGCACAAAUUGUCCAGAAUCCUCGCCUAGAUCUGCUAAUCGCGCUCCUUCUCCCCCUUCGGAUCCCUCUCCAAUCCAAUCCGAGCCGACCACGAACACAUUCCAUGGUGGUGAGCUAGCAAGCCUUUGAUGGUGGCCGAUGGGCGUGGAAGUGGGGCCAGCACAGCCUUCUCGGCCACCACCGCGCCGGAUCAGGCGAUCGCCGCACGGGCUUGCCUUCUCCUCCUCCCGCGUCGCUCUGCUCCCUGGUAGCGGACCUGACCAGGCCUUCAUCGUCGUCGGGGACGUCCACGGCCAGCUCCACGACGUCAUCUUCCUGCUCCGAGACGCCGGGUUCCCCUCCGAGGAGCGGCUCUUCUCCGUCGCCGCCAGCCUGCCCUCCUGCCGCUGCGCGAAAAUCUUGCCCGCCCUCCAUUGCGCUGUUGCCAAUUUGUUUCUCAGAAUCGACCGUGGACUUAUCCUCCACCACCUCCCGCCGCGCAGCCUCGUCGCAUCGCAGUGCGUAUGCAAGGCGUGGCCGCCAUCGUCGACGGCCGCCGGCUGCUGCUCAAAUCCUCUCAAUCCUGGAAGAUAUUUGAUUGCUUUGAUGUUGAUCCUAUUGGAUCCGCUUUGAUAGUUGGUGGGACUUCGUCGAUCUCCCCAUCUUCCGUUGUGACGCGAUCGCUCCCCGGUGAUCUACUCUUCUCCUCCCAUUCGAUUCCACUCUUACACCACCCAAACCACCUCGAUGGCGUCUAUUGUGUUUGUUCUCCCGCAACUCAUGGCUACAACAGUUCCAAGAUUAAUCCCCGUAGAGUACUCCUACAUUGCUCCAAAAUAUCAUUGAAUCAAUCUUACAAUCCCCGCAUAGUACUCCUUACGAGUGUUUAUAUUGCCUUUGACAUGAUUGGUGAAAUGUCUCAAAUGGCCAUUAACAUGAAGAGACUUUAUAUGGGAGGGCGAGGUGCUUUGGUUAUUGGAUGACCUUCGAAGGAAUUGGGAGCAGGGAGGUGUGGGAAAGGGGUGAACCGAGUGGUCGACAUCGGCUACGACGAACCAGCGGAGCAGCAACGGAGCACCGGCCGCGGCAGCACCCCAUGGAAAGGGGAAAGGCAAGGUCGCCGAGCUUGAGUAGGAGGUUUGGCCCAAUCUUUGCCGUUUUGUCCAGUCGUUGCAGCUUCUGAAUCUGAUUUGGGGCUAUGGUGGUUAGCUGGCAAGCCUUCGAUGGUUAAGUCACAACGGUGGUUUAUUAUUGUCUCCAUGUCCAGUGAUUAACUUAUACUUGCAUGUUCUGUGUUUUAGUUUACUGGGUUCUGAAAGCAGCAACAGGGUUUUUUUGACUUGGUACUAUGAUUCUAGUGAAGGGAGCUUGGUUUGAUAACAUGUGUGUUCUCUUGGCUUGUGGAGUUGCAGGGAGGGCGAGGUGCUUCGGUUCUUGGAUGACCUUCGAAGGAAUUGGGAGCAAGGAGGCGUGGGAAAGGGGUGAACCGAGUGGUCGACAUCGGCUACAGCGAACCAGUGGAGCAGCAACGGAGCACUGGCCACGGCAGCACCCCAUGGAAAGGGGAAAGGCAAGGUCGCCGAGCUUGAGUAGGAGGCUUUUGAUGAAGCCAUCUCGAAGCUGGACACCCUGAGCGAGGAGUCCUACAUGACACCACUUUGAUCAUGCAACUCCUUCAUGAACACUUGAUCCUCUGGACUUCCGAUAUCUCAGUAAUCUUCCAUUUCUCAAACAUAAAGUUCUGCUCACACUCUUUACUUUAUCCUGAAAUCAUCCCGAUUCCUUAAAAGGGUUUUCUGCUCACACUCUUUAGCACCUUGACCCUGUUUUCAGUCCGACAAUACCUCAAUAUUCUUUU